Molecule: transfer RNA, 75 nt
Filed under: Verrucomicrobiota bacterium
Lineage: Bacteria; Pseudomonadati; Verrucomicrobiota
Also listed under: 1 other name
Description: Verrucomicrobia bacterium tRNA-Val
Rfam family: tRNA
About the family: Transfer RNA (tRNA) molecules are approximately 80 nucleotides in length. Their secondary structure includes four short double-helical elements and three loops (D, anti-codon, and T loops). Further hydrogen bonds mediate the characteristic L-shaped molecular structure. tRNAs have two regions of fundamental functional importance: the anti-codon, which is responsible for specific mRNA codon recognition, and the 3' end, to which the tRNAs corresponding amino acid is attached (by aminoacyl-tRNA synthetases). tRNAs cope with the degeneracy of the genetic code in two manners: having more than one tRNA (with a specific anti-codon) for a particular amino acid; and 'wobble' base-pairing, i.e. permitting non-standard base-pairing at the 3rd anti-codon position.
Source: RNAcentral
GCGCGCUUAGCUCAGUGGUAGAGCACAUCCUUCACACGGAUGGGGUCGUAGGUUCAAGUCCUGCAGCGCGCACCA